RNAcentral lists this ribosomal RNA (448 nucleotides) under uncultured prokaryote. RNAcentral describes it as "bacterial SSU rRNA". It matches the Rfam family "Bacterial small subunit ribosomal RNA", at positions 355 to 796 of the family's 1533-position model. The record is from RNAcentral.
UGAGGAAUAUUGGGCAAUGGGCGCAAGCCUGACCCAGCCACGCCGCGUGUGUGAUGAAGGCCUUCGGGUCGUAAAGCACUGUGGGGAGGGAUGAACCUGUGCGGGAGGAAAUGCCUGCGCACUGACAGUACCUCCUAGCAAGCACCGGCUAACUCUGUGCCAGCAGCCGCGGUAAUACAGAGGGUGCGAACGUUGCUCGGAUUUACUGGGCGUAAAGCGCGUGUAGGCGGACAAGCAAGUCGGUUGUGAAAUCCCUGGGCUCAACCUAGGAACUGCAUCCGAAACUGCUUGUCUUGAGUAAUGGAGAGGGUGGCGGAAUUCCCGGUGUAGAGGUGAAAUUCGUAGAUAUUCGGAGGAACACCAGUGGCGAAGGCGGCUCACUGGCUCGAUACUGACGCUGAGGUGCGAAAGUGUGGGGAGCAAACAGGAUUAGAUACCCCUGUAGUCC